UCCAAAAUCAAUUGUAUUUUUUAUAUUAGCAAACAAUUGGAAAAUAAAGGUUUUAACUUCCAUUUCCCAUAGCAUCAAAAAAGUUUAUGGAAAAACUAAAACAUACUUUUGGUAGAAAUUAAAGAAUAGCUAAAUAAAUGUAUAGACAGAUCAUGUUUCUGCGUGGGAAGAGAUGGAUGGAAGAACAUUGGCAAGAUGUCCGUUCCCCACAAAUAGAUCUGUAGAUUUAAUGCAAUCCCAAUCAUAACACCAGUAGGCUUUUUAGGUAGAAAUUGGCAAACUAAUUAUAAAAUUUAUAUGGAAAUGCAAAGGAUCUAGAACAUCUAAAGUAAUCUUACCCCAAAAAGAGAACCAAGUUACAUUUAGAAUGAGGGAUUUCAAGACUUACUAUAAAGCUACAGCUAUUAAGAUAAUAUGAUACAGUAUGAAGGUCAACACCUACAUCAAUGAAACAAAACAGCACAGAAGGAGGUGCUCACUUACAUCAUCAUUUGAUUUUCAGCACAGGUGCCAAAGUAACCCUAUGGAGAAAGGAAACUUUCUGCAGAAGGGGCUAGGGCAACUAGAUAUACAUAUCACAAAUUCAUCCAAAGUGGAUCAGAGUAUUAAUUAUAAUGCUUGAAACAAUGAUGCCUUCAGAAGAAAACACAGGAGACUAGCUUUGUGACUUGGGAAUAGGCAAAGCUUUCUUAGGAACAGAAAGCAACACUUUUAAAAGAAAACAAAAUUUGCUAAAUUAGACUUCAACAAAAUUUAAAACUGCUGCUUAUCCAAAGGGACCAUUAAGAAAUCAAGCAAACCGCAGAUUAGGAAAAUAGAUAUUUGUAAAGUAUAUGUUUGACAAAAGACGGACAUUCAGGAUAUAUAAACAAUUCUCUAAUGAAAAACAAGCACAUUUUUGAAAAGGGCAUAAGACUUGAACAGAUACUUACAUGAAAGGAGAUAACACAAAUGGCUAAGAAGCAGAUAUAAACACGUUCAACGUCAUGUGUCAUUAGGGAAAUGCAAAACAAACCACAAGGAGAUACCACUACAUACCCACCAGAAUGAUUAAAUUAAACAGAUUGAUCACUUUGAGUGUGGAAGAAUCAGAACUCUUAUACUUGCUGAUAUAAAGUAGGGCAGCCAUUUUGGAAAGGGUCUAGCAGUUUCUCUCAGACCAAUUACACAACUACCAGCUGCUGAGUACAGAUAACAAUAUAAAUGAAUCUCAGAAACAUUAUGCUGAGUGAAAGAAGCCAGACACAAAAGAUACAUACUGCACAAUUCCAUUUACAUGAAAUGGUAGGACCGGCAGCACUAAUAAGUGAGAGGGGAGAAAACCCAGAACGAUGGAGCCUCUAUGGGGGUGGGUAUGGAGACUGGGUGGAAGGGGCAUGGGGCCUUUCCAGGGAAUGAAAACAUUCUAUAUGUGCCAUCCAAUACAGGACCACUGGCCAGGCCACAUGGGCAUGUUGAACACUUGGAAUGUGACUAGUCUGAAUGGAGAUGUGUUCCAAAUACACACCAGAUUUUGAAGACGAGCGUGGAGUCCCAAACGGAUGAAAUCAUGCACCUAUAGUCCGUCCUUCCAUGUCCCGCCCUCCUCCUUUGCUGACCGGAAGGGUGUUCACCAAUAUUCACUUUGGACAGCCUGCUCUGCCUGAGGACAGAAUUUGAGAUUCUUCUUCCACUUCCACAAGGUCAGGGUCUGGGCUGCUGGGCAGGAGCAGUGGAAUGACACAGCUUCUGUACUAUCAAAGGCAUUAAAAGGUGUUUUAUCAGCUCUA
Molecule: long non-coding RNA, 1769 nt
Organism: Leopardus geoffroyi (Geoffroy's cat)
Lineage: Eukaryota; Metazoa; Chordata; Mammalia; Carnivora; Felidae
Exons: 2
Source: RefSeq, a predicted model, not a curated record